UCGUAACAAGGUCUCCGUUGGUGAACCAGCGGAGGGAUCAUUACCGAGUUUACAACUCCCAAACCCCUGUGAACAUACCUAUACGUUGCCUCGGCGGAUCAGCCCGCGCCCCGUAAAACGGGACGGCCCGCCCGAGGACCCCUAAACUCUGUUUUUAGUGGAACUUUUGAGUAAAACAAACAAAUAAAUCAAAACUUUCAACAACGGAUCUCUUGGUUCUGGCAUCGAUGAAGAACGCAGCAAAAUGCGAUAAGUAAUGUGAAUUGCAGAAUUCAGUGAAUCAUCGAAUCUUUGAACGCACAUUGCGCCCGCCAGUAUUCUGGCGGGCAUGCCUGUUCGAGCGUCAUUUCAACCCUCAAGCUCAGCUUGGUGUUGGGACUCGCGGUAACCCGCGUUCCCCAAAUCGAUUGGCGGUCACGUCGAGCUUCCAUAGCGUAGUAUCAUACACCUCGUUAAUGGUAAUCGUCGCGGCCACGCCGUUACACCCCUACUUCUGAAUGCUGACCUCGGAUCAGGUAGGAAUACCCGCUGAACUUAAGCAUAUCGAUGAGCGGAGGAACAGCAGCCAUCAGCGAUUGCCCGAGUAACGGCGAGUGAAGCGGCAACAGCUCAAAUUUGAAAUCUGGCUCUCGGGCCCGAGUUGUAAUUUGUAGAGGAUGCUUUUGAUGCGGUGUCUUCCGAGUUCCCUGGAACGGGACGCCAUAGAGGGUGAGAGCCCCGUCUGGUUGGAUGCCAAAUCUCUGUAAAGCUCCUUCGACGAGUCGAGUAGUUUGGGAAUGCUGCUCUAAAUGGGAGGUAUAUGUCUUCUAAAGCUAAAUACCGGCCAGAGACCGAUAGCGCACAAGUAGAGUGAUCGAAAGAUGAAAAGCACUUUGAAAAGAGAGUUAAAAAGUACGUGAAAUUGUUGAAAGGGAAGCGUUUAUGACCAGACUUGGGCUUGGUUAAUCAUCUGGGGUUCUCCCCAGUGCACUUUUCCAGUCCAGGCCAGCAUCAGUUUUCGCCGGGGGAUAAAGGCUUCGGGAAUGUGGCUCUCUCCGGGGAGUGUUAUAGCCCGUUGCGUAAUACCCUGGCGGGGACUGAGGUUCGCGCAACUGCAAGGAUGCUGGCGUAAUGGUCAU
RNAcentral lists this ribosomal RNA (1118 nucleotides) under Fusarium incarnatum. Its description in RNAcentral is "eukaryotic LSU rRNA". The stretch from base 502 to 1118 matches the Rfam family "Eukaryotic large subunit ribosomal RNA", at positions 1 to 641 of the family's 3401-position model. The record is from RNAcentral. Lineage: Eukaryota; Fungi; Ascomycota; Sordariomycetes; Hypocreales; Nectriaceae.